GCCUGAUCUUGUGUGAUUUACUUUGUACCAACACCCCAUGACCCAGAUGACUUGGCCAAGGUCAUCAGCCAAAGCCAGGCCUCUGGGUCUAACUACCGGCAGGCUGACAAGGCAUACAGGUCAGCGGGCAAAGCAACGGAGGGAGACCCCAUACGUUCUGCUUGACCUGUUGUCUUGCUCUUUGUCCCUUCUGGGAUUUUCUCAGCUCCCACCUCUGGGUGCCUGGUCCCUAAAGCCCCUCUCAAAUGACAAUGUGGCAUCCACCCUGGGACGAUGGCGUCUCCAUGGCAGGUCUUGAAGAGCAAGAACGCCUCGGAAGAGAGAAGAGCAGACGUUUAUAGGUGGCCAGGUGGGAGACACACGUCGAGGCUCCACGGGACUCAGGCUCCUGACUGCUUCCUUCCAGCUGUAGCUUGUUUUCUUCAAGUUCCCUCAUGGUCUGUGGUGACUUCCAAAGGCCUUGGAAGGAGGACAGAAAAUAGGACAAAGAAAGGGCUUUUCCCAGCUAAUAACCUCUUUCAUGCAGACUUCUGAGGUAUCCUGGAUAACUCUGCCACCUGCUUCUGGUUGCUGUCAUUCAUUCAUAUGUCCAUAUUUGGCCACAGAGGUCCCUGAGAGUGGUGGUUUGGAUGACAAACAACCCCUGUACACUCACAUAUUUGAACAUUGGGUCCAAACAUACCCGGUACACUCACAUAUUUGAACAGUUGGUCUUCCGUCAGUGCUCUGUAUGGGGGAAGCCAAGGAAUGUGAAGGGACCCAUCCGUUUCCUCUCUAGCCACCUGUGGCCACGCCCCUCCCAACAUUACGGAUUAUUCCCCUGGAACCAUAAGUCUAAAUAAACUCUCCCUUCUCUAAGUUGCUUCAGGGCAUGGCAUUUUCUGCCAACAACAGAAAAGUAUCUAAUACAUUAGGAAAUAUAGCUGUGUUGAGGAGACGGUUGGGGGACUUAGCGACGGAAGAAUGUUUACGUUAAUAGCCAACUGUGGUCCAUUGGCCAAAUGCGGUCUUCUAGACAGAUGGUUUGUCAACAAAGUUUUAUUGGUACAAAGCUAAGCUCGUUCAUUUAUAUAUCAUCUAUGGCCUUUUUUUUUUAUUAUAGACCAAUAACAUUUGGUCUACGAAGCUUAAAUGACUUACUUAUUAUCUGACACAGCAAAGGUAUACUAACUUCUGGAAUAGACAAGCAGCAAAUUAUACUUUGUGUGCAUAGCCCACGGCCAGGAAUUGAGCUUAACACAAAGGUCUCUGAGUGUGAUCCCAUUAUCAAGCAGCUCCCAGGGCUGGGGACUUGGCAGUCAAGCAAUUGCUAAUUAUACUGUGUGAUGACCAGGAUCAAAGUGUGGCAUUCAGGGUUCUAAGAGACCACAUAGGCAGACUGUGGAGAGAGACGUUUCCAGAUGGGCUUAAAAGAAGAUUCACCCCUGUAUUCCUAGGACUUGAGAGACUGAGACAGGAGGAAUGUUGUAUGCUUGAGGCCAGCCUAGGCUACAAAGGGAAUGCCAGGCUACACUGGGCUGCAGAACAAGAAUCUGUCUCCAAAGAAGCAAAAUAAAACAAAGAAACCAAAAUCAGCACCAAAAUUUCAUUUUAUUAUGUGUUCAUCCCAGUGCACGUCACAGUCAC
This 1626-nucleotide long non-coding RNA is filed under the name Cricetulus griseus (Chinese hamster). Its description in RNAcentral is "lncRNA (ENSCGRG00015038604.1)". The record is from RNAcentral. Lineage: Eukaryota; Metazoa; Chordata; Mammalia; Rodentia; Cricetidae.